This 330-nucleotide long non-coding RNA is filed under the name Homo sapiens (human). RNAcentral describes it as "lncAB163.1". The record is from RNAcentral. Lineage: Eukaryota; Metazoa; Chordata; Mammalia; Primates; Hominidae.
AGCCACUACAUUUCCAGCUCUAAAAAGAGCCAGACACAAUCCCUGCUUCCAGAGUUCACCAUUCAGAAUACAGGAGGUCAAGCACUGAUUCUGAAUCAUUAAUGGGCUUUGAUUUCGUCUUUCAAGAUUUGCAUAGAUACUGAUUUCUUCCGGAAGGGCAAAUAAAAUCUUCCCUUACACACAUCAUUCUUUGGAUUCUCAUAAGGGGUAUUUUGAAGUCUGUAUGUUGACAAGGCCAGUAGAUACUUUGUUUUCUCUAACUGCCUUCUUCUACUUAAGACUAUGUCAAGUAUUUUGUUUUCCCUUUCAGUUCUCCCCAACAUACACCUU